UACGUAGGGUGCAAGCGUUGUCCGGAAUUAUUGGGCGUAAAGAGCUCGUAGGCGGUCUGUCGCGUCUGCUGUGAAAACUCAGGGCUUAACCCUGAGCUUGCAGUGGGUACGGGCAGACUAGAGUGCGGUAGGGGAGACUGGAAUUCCUGGUGUAGCGGUGAAAUGCGCAGAUAUCAGGAGGAACACCGGUGGCGAAGGCGGGUCUCUGGGCCGUAACUGACACUGAUGAGCGAAAGCCAGGGGAGCAAACGGG
Molecule: ribosomal RNA, 253 nt
Filed under: uncultured bacterium
Lineage: Bacteria
Description: partial 16S ribosomal RNA
Rfam family: Bacterial small subunit ribosomal RNA
Source: RNAcentral